RNAcentral lists this ribosomal RNA (648 nucleotides) under Triticum aestivum (bread wheat). Its description in RNAcentral is "partial small subunit ribosomal RNA". The record is from RNAcentral. Lineage: Eukaryota; Viridiplantae; Streptophyta; Magnoliopsida; Poales; Poaceae.
AUGGCCACCUGGCCGCCAUCCCAGCCAGCCUUGCCGGACGGUGAGCAGUGGGACUGGUCUUUGCAUCAGGAAAACCUGCGUGCACAUCUGGCACGCGCGCAAGUCAAGCACAAGAAGUUCGCAGAGCUGAAUCGAACGGAGCGGGCGUUUCAGGUCGGGGAGCAAGUUCUUCUGAAGCUGCAACCGUAUGUACAGAAGUCUGUGGGGAGCCGCCCCUGUCUGAAGCUAGCGUUCAAGUUCUUUGGCCCUUUCUCCGUCAUCGCCAGGAUCGGACCUGCGGCAUACAAACUGGAGCUCCCUACUGACAGUAAAAUCCAUCCAGUGUUUCACGUCUCGCAGUUGAAGCCAUUCACUCCAAACUACAGUCUGGUGUUCUCCGAGCUCCCGGUCACCACUGAUCUGUCCACUAAGGAGACCAUACCAGUGGAAAUACUGGACCGCAGAAUGAUGAAGAAGGGCAACGCGCCAGUGAUUCAACUUCAAGUGGCCUGGGACACGGUUCCUCCAAUGAUCACCUGGGAGGAUUACGACAUGCUCCGCCGGCGUUACCCGCAAGCAAGCAUUUGGGAAGACGACGCAACGGAGGAAGAAGAACGUUCUCAAGGAGGGGAGAAUGUCACCACGACAGUGCAAGGCACCACCGCGUGA